CCUACGGGUGGCAGCAGUGGGGAAUAUUGGACAAUGGGCGAAAGCCUGAUCCAGCCAUGCCGCGUGUGUGAAGAAGGCCUUCGGGUUGUAAAGCACUUUCAGUGGGGAAGAAAGCCUUGGGGCUAAUACCCUCGAGGAAGGACAUCACCCACAGAAGAAGCACCGGCUAACUCCGUGCCAGCAGCCGCGGUAAUACGGAGGGUGCGAGCGUUAAUCGGAAUUACUGGGCGUAAAGCGCGCGUAGGCGGUCUGAUAAGCCGGUUGUGAAAGCCCCGGGCUCAACCUGGGAACGGCAUCCGGAACUGUCAGGCUAGAGUGCAGGAGAGGAAGGUAGAAUUCCCGGUGUAGCGGGGAAAUGCGUAGAGAUCGGGAGGAAUACCAGUGGCGAAGGCGGCCUUCUGGACUGACACUGACGCUGAGGUGCGAAAGCGUGGGUAGCAAACAGGAUUAGAUACCCUAGUAGUC
RNAcentral lists this ribosomal RNA (465 nucleotides) under Vreelandella stevensii. RNAcentral's name for it is "partial 16S ribosomal RNA". It matches the Rfam family "Bacterial small subunit ribosomal RNA", at positions 338 to 795 of the family's 1533-position model. The record is from RNAcentral. Lineage: Bacteria; Pseudomonadati; Pseudomonadota; Gammaproteobacteria; Oceanospirillales; Halomonadaceae.